RNAcentral lists this unclassified non-coding RNA (3034 nucleotides) under Leishmania donovani. RNAcentral's name for it is "gene:LdHU3.25.0020(CDS-product:beta_galactofurano syl_transferase)". The record is from RNAcentral. Lineage: Eukaryota; Euglenozoa; Kinetoplastea; Trypanosomatida; Trypanosomatidae.
UCACACGCUACCACUCAACGCUCCCUGCAACACUGGAGUGAGUCGAUCGCGCGUCCCGAGGACGCGCAUCGUGCAUCCUUUUCUAGCCAAUCCAGUGCCGCUUAGUGGUAACGGAGCGCGCGUCGCGGAGAAAUGGCGCCGCCUCGCUGGCAUCACGACCGCCGGCGCAUGGCGAUAUUCGUCCGUGUCGGUCUUUACACACUUCUCUUCCUUAUGGGCUACGUUGUCCCGCUUAUCAUUUUUUAUAAUCGCUCGCGCGCAGACACCUUCGAGGAUACCCCUCGUUCCGGUGAGGCGUUUAUUAGUGACGAGAAUUUUUUUCACUGCAUCGCCGAGCGUCUCUCAUAUAAGGAACAACACCCAGCUCGAAUCCCGUACGUGCUGAUACCGGUAACGAUGGAUUAUCAGGACAUCAAGCAACUCUUCUGCAAUAUUACAGUCCCCAUGACGUACAUCAUGUUUAUCAACAACGGCAUGUUCCGCCCACUACGCUCGCUUCUCGACCGCCUUGCCGUAGAUCUGAGGGACUACGUCGACCAGAAUCUCUUUAUCAUUCACCACCCCGAGAACAUCGGCUACGCGUCUGCCGUGAACGAGGGCCUGCGUCACGCCCUCAACUUUUCCGUUGCCAAAGUGCCUUGGGUCUUCAUCACCAAUGCCGACGUGCGCUUUGCGCCGGGGCUCAUCGACGAGUUUGUCUCGCAGGCAAACGAAAAGACACAAGGCCAGCUGGAGCGCAUUCGCCGCCUAGACCAAGAGAUCAUUGCCGAAGCCAGGACGCUGCGAAACGUGCCAAAUCGGCGGUUUGCCUUCCGCAGCAGCCAGCACCCCAUCAUUACGGCAUCCUCGCUGCCAUAUCGUAUUCGGACCAUGCCCCCAGAGGAGAUGAAGAAGCAGUUUGCCGACACGUACGGCAUCUUUUACACAGACCACAAGGAUUUCAUGGCCACAUUUGCGCUGUCCCGCCUCGCCAUUGCGACUGUAGGGUUUUUUGACGAGAACUACUACCCCGCCUACGGCGAAGAUCAUGACUACGUGUGGCGCAUGGCUGCUUUGGGCUACCAAAAGUACUUCUCCGAGCCUGGCAAGUUUGUGCACUUUGAAAACGCGAACCUCAACGUCGGUGGGUCGGCCAGGAACCGGGGAAUCUUCAAGAACACUGCCUACUUUCUCCAGAGCGUCAAGUUUGGGCGUAUGAACUAUCAACCAUUUCGCCUCCAAUAUCGCCGUGCCAAGUGGUUUCCUGAUGGGGUCACAAUCUAUCAAGAUACCGGGCGCAAUCCACUGCCGUUUAACGGAACUAUUCCUCUCGACAUGUGGGUACUCGACACUGACAGGCGGAGGUCCAUAUGGGAAAUCGGUGAAAACAUUCGCUGCCACCGCGACUACAAGCCGUACAGCAUGAAGCUACUGGACUUUCCUGUUGACCCCAGCUAAGGGUUCUGGUCGGGAUUGAUGCGCGGCACACGCUUUCGUUGGCCUUCGCGAUGCGCGCAUUUCUGCAGAUGGACACCCUAGCACUGGUACCGGUUUGCGCCAGUCUGAUCGAAAUUAAUGCGCUCAGUCUGUUGCAGCGGCGCGUGGAAGGCGUUCCGCAGAGGUAUACGGAAAGCUUCUUCGCUGGCGGCCGCUCUCGCCUACCGGAAUAAGGACGAUCCACCACCGAAUCAAAAAGCCGCGCAUACGACGGUGAUGAACUCUUGACGGCUGCCGUUCGGUUUCUUGGUUUCCUUGUUUUUUCGAAGUCUUGCACCCACCCACCCCCUCUUUGCCUAAGCUGCAGUAUGGGGCCACCGUGCUGUGCAAGAAUGCAAGCGCCGUUUGCCGAAUGAUGCUUGGGCACCUUCACGGCAGCGCAGCCGCAUUCAUCGUCUAUACACCGCAAGUGCGAAGAAGAGCGGCCACACACUCAAAGAGGCCGCUGCGCAGUUCCUCGACUAAGUUGUGCUGCUGCGCCCCACAGGCCAGUGUUUGUCGGCGGUGCUGCGAGAGGGGGGGGUACCCUGCGCAUUUGGCGCAGGACGUGCGCACGCCGGAUGGCGGCUUCGUCACAGCGUCUCGGCGGCUUGCGCGUCGGCAUGCGGGCAUGGACCCUAUCGGGGAUAAGCCCGCACACAGAUCCCUCACACGCAGCGGUCACAUGUACGUCAGCCGGUCCUCUAACGGAUGCAGGCCGGGGUGGGCGUGGGUGGGUGGGGGCAGACUCUCCAGAAAAGAGGAACACUUGCGUCAUGCAAACAGACGCUCUCCCGCUUUGCGACGCUUCCUCACUGGCUGUCGGCGGAUGGUGCUGGACUGCGACCCAUCAACACAGGAGCGGACGCGAUGCUCGACGACAGCAAUGCACGCACCGGCAUAGCGAAAACAGAAUGUGGCCGCUUCAUCGUGGCAGCUAUGGCGCUGAGAGCGAACGAACUGAGCUGCUACUCGAGCUGCUGGCAGUGCAGCUUGCAUCAACUGCAACACAGAGAAACAGGUGUGGCUGCUGUCACGGAGUCGCUCUGCGUUCCUCAUCGCACUGCGCAAGGGCCGUACAAGCGUGGAGAAGUGCACAGUGCUACAUAUUUGAGCACAAAUGUUGACGCUACUGGCCUGCUGUCUGCGCAUAUUGUUCCAGCUUGCUCACGUGCUGCCGUUCACCAUGGUCACACAAGGACACCGUGAACCUGUUUGCUACAACGGCAAUGUCCCCCCAGUCCCCCGCAUACUGCAUGGAUUCUAGCCCUCCAAGCUGACGCGGCAGGCCGCCAUGCCCCGCGACCACGAUGCACGAUGCACGAUGCGACGAGCUAAGACCUGAGCUCCUAGGAGACCGUCGUGUCACACCACGAAAAGGAGGCUGCUGGGUUCCCGAGGCGAUGAGACAACGUGUUUACUCAGUCCUCGACGGACAUCUGCGCGUCUUCUGGAUUCCUGCAGCGGCGCGUGAGUUGCAGUGAACAGGUGAAGUGCAGAUGGUGCGCUAUCUACACAUCCGCUGGAACUUUGCCUCCCCUCCCUUAAUGCCUCUGCCCGAGCCUGAACCCACGCCUAG